UUAAACAACACUAGCACUAACAAAACAUUAGUUUUAUCUUGAACGCGCUUCCACACCACACCACAACAGAACAGCAAUCAGCUAAAAACGAACAGCAUCAUCUGCUCAAUUCGACUCGUAUUUUUUUGUUCAGCUAGCGUGAUAUUUAUAUUGCAGAAGUGAAAUUUAAUUUUGUUUACGUUGGGCCACAAGAAAAGGAAAAUCAAAGAAACAGCAGCAAAAGAGAAGAAAAGUGAAAAUUGUUCUUUGCCGAAGCGAAACGGAGACGACGAAUAAUGAGUGUGUGUGUGCCGUCGCGUACUUGAAUCGAAUGUGGACCGAUCUGUGGAUCCACCUACUUACUGCUGCACCCCCGCAGAAGCCAUGCAAAACGAUGAUAUAUUAUUGUGUUUUAUUCCGCAAUGGAAGAGGCUUCUUUAACAAUCUGUGAGUGGCGUUGCCCGAGAACGUGAACGUGAACCAAAAAGGAGGACAAGUGGCAGAAUAAGAACUAGAUGUGGAUGUGCGUGCUAGCCAGUAAGACAAGUUAACAGAGACACUGACACUGACCCCCCACCCCACCGCACCCCACCCGACAAUCCACAAACACAUCGUCAUCGCCUCAUCGCCGCGUCGCCAAGCAACCGCCUCAUCAUGGCCAUCAAAGACUUUAGCAUACAAUUGCUAAUCACAUUAUUGCUCAUCGGAGCCCUGCUUGGCCAGCAGUUGCCCCGCGAAGAGACCAGCAGCAGCAGCAGCAGCAGUAGCACAACAGCACCUGGGCCGGCACGACCGCCGCCCCGCGUGAAGCUCAACAAAUGCUGCCAUUUGGGGGAGUAUCUGAAUGCCACCACCCGCUCCUGCAUAGCCGGCAAUUCGGAACUGUGGGUGCCCAUGGUGUAUCUCAUACAGCAGCAGCGCUUCUUUGAGCCCAUCGGCGCCAGUCCCCGCUUCAUGAAGUUCACCGCCCACGUGCGACCCGUCUGCCAGGAGCAGCAGCUGGAGCUGUUUAGCAGUCGGCUGGGCAAUGCCUUCAUUUUCCCCAAUGGCACGCUGUCGGUGCGCGAACGCCUGAUACUGGUGGAGCCACAAAACUAUUGCGUCGAUCGGGACGUGGCGUUGGUCUGCCUGGAAGCGCCCGCGGCAGGAGCAAUCAAUCGAGAGAAUGCCCUUGCAACGGGAACCGAGACAGCAGCCGCAUCCCUGGUGACGCAGCCUGCCACGCUGCGCAUGCGCAAAUGCUGUGGCAAGUGGGGCAGCUACGACACCAGCCUCAAGACCUGUAACCUGCAGCCCAGUCCCCCCACCGACGGUCAGCUCCGGCUGGGCCCGCAACUACCGGAGGGCAGCUAUCAGACCAGCUACGGCCUGCCCGAGUGCGUGAGCGUAGGAGUAGGCAUCAAUGCAAAUGCAAAUGCCAAUGUCGGCUAUGCCAUUGCCGGCGAUUGGCGCGAUGCUCAGCUGAAUCGCUCCUCGGGCGAGAUCCGGCUGUCGCAUCACACGAAUCUCAGUGCCAGCCAGUACUGCCUGGAGCACACGCAACGCGAGGGAGAGGUGAAAAUCAUUGCCUGUUCGCAUCACUUCUCAAACGCCCAGCACGGCGACGGGCAGGAUGGGGGCUCUAGCGGACUGGACGAGGAUGGCCAGAGCUCGGGCAUGCGGCUACAGAAAGCCGUACUAACCGGCGGCAUACUCAUUUCGGUGGUGUUUCUGGCGGCCACACUGGUGGCUGGCUUUAUGCUGCCCGCCGUCCAUCAUGCCCUGCACUGGCGCUGCCAGAUCUGCUACGUCUUCUGCCUACUGGUGGGCAAGGUGCUGCUGGCCAUCGAGGAGCUCAACACCUCGCUCAUGCCGGGAUCCGUGGCCUGUCUGCUGCUGGCCGUUGGCAUGCAGUUCUUCUUCCUGUCGGCCUUCUUCUGGCUGAACACGAUGUGCUUCAAUAUCUGGUGGACGUUCCGGGACUUUCGGCCGAGCUCCCUCGAACGGAAUCAGGAGGCACUGCGACUACUCCUCUACUCCGUGUACGCCUGGGGCGUGCCCCUGCUGAUCUCAACGAUAGCCGCCUGUGUGGACCAGCUACCGGAGACGACGCUGCUGAGGCCGGGCUUUGGGCAGCUCUAUUGCUGGUUCGACAAUCGAUCGGUCUCGAUUUUUGCCUACUUUUACGGACCCAUUGGGCUGCUGCUGUGCGCCAAUAUUGCCCUGUUCAUCUCCACCACCCACCAACUGACCUGCGGCCUGUGGAAGCGGGACGAUGUCAAGUCGUCCACGGAAAAGUCAGCCCUAGGCAAGGUCUGCCUCAAGCUGGUCGUCGUUAUGGGCGUCACCUGGAUAGCGGACAUUAUGUCGUGGCUGGUGGGCGGGCCCCAUGGCGCCUGGUUCGUUACCGAUCUGAUCAAUGCCCUACAGGGUGUCUUCAUUUUCAUUGUGGUGGGAUGCCAGCCGCAGGUGUGGACCGCCUGCCGGCGCAUCUGCUGUCCACGGCUCCGUCACGACAUCACCAACACCACCAAUGGAGUCCAGCACUCGAGCAGCUCCCAGGGCCUGCCCUCGAUGGCCGGCUGCGGGACAGAGUUUACCCAAAACACCACCACGAUGCAGUGCUCGGCCAGCUCGACGGCCCCCAGCAGUCUCUCCCCACCAAGUGGCGAUGCCACCACAGCUCCACCAACGACGACAAUAACGAACCCGACAAUGCCUCCGCCCACUGCAAAGAUGGAAACCGUUUGCUAAAGGCACAUGGAGAUAAUGUAUGCCAGUGUAUCUGCAUCUGGAGGAAAGGGAAAAUUGAAAAUUGAGUUUAAAUUGGACUCACCGGCGGCGGCAACGGCACCGGCAUCGGCAUCGGCGGGCGACGAAUAUGUGAUAAGCACCGCUUCGGCCGCCGUCUCAAGUGGUCUUGACACAUCGCAAAUGAGCCAAAGUAAACGCCAUCCCAUCCCAUUCCAGUAUUCAGAGACAACUGGAGACGAGACGAGCGACAAUGCGAAAGUAAACCCCCUCCCCCUUUCGAUCCCAUACCGAGUCCAACGAAAAUAAUGGCAAUGGAGCUGGGGGACUGGAGUAUCGUAUCCGAGGCACACUUGCGCAAUAGCAGCAACGGCAACAGCAGCAACAGCGUAACCAACAUUCAAGCACGCGCAUUGACCGGCCCAGCUAAUUGUCUAUGUGUUUGAGAGUGUGUGUAAAAGUGAGUGUAUGUGUGUGACCGUCUUGCGCGUGAUUUUGAAAUCAGCCAACAGGCGGCAGCAGAAGCAGAAGCAGGGGCAGCGGUAGCGGUAGCGGCCAAUGGCCGACAGUAAUUCAGUAUUCAACUUCAAUUUGAGCUAAACACAAAAGAAAUGUAAGAGUAUUUUAUUCAUAUACAUGAGUAUGUGUAUAUAAAUGUAUGUAACUUGAGCACAGCAUAACGGUAGGUUAGAUGGGGGAUAACAGGGCAGGACAGGGUCAGAUUAACACGUUUUAAUUGAAUUGAGCCCAGACAUGGGUAAGUGUUGCAAAACGCAAAACUACAUACAAAUACCGCAAACAGGAAUGCACAAUAGACAAAGCAGAGCUAUUGUUAAUGACGGGGGUUUUCUUCUCCUUCUACUCUUUCCAGGGAGAUCUCCAAUAGAACUUGGACAGCUGCCGCUGUCGCUGACGCCGCUGCUUCUGCUGCUGAAUGCAGCGCACAACCACAAGGAAUUUAUUGUUGAGGCAUUUUUGUUGUACUCUCGUGAUAUUCUGCUGUGGCUUUUCUAGCCUCACAAAAAUCUCAAGUGUGAGAAAACCAGCAGCCGCCAGCAGAUAGAACAAACAAACACACACACACACAUUCAUACGUCCAUAUAAAUACAUGCACACAUGUAGAUUGUUUAACAUUUAAAUUAGUCGAUUCUGGAUGCUGGGCUCUGGUUUGAAUUUGGAUUUCCAUUUCGAUUCCCAUUGAGAAGAUUGCACCAAAAAAAAGCUGCUGGCAUUUGAUUUAGACGUGCUGCGUCACACGUACCCGCUUCCUCUCUUGCUCUCACUCUCUCUCUCUCAGACCACAGUCUUUGUAUUAGAUUAGUGUAUGUGUGUGUGUGUGUCAUUCAGCAUUGCUCAAUAAUUUGAUUCUUGCAUUCUUUAACAGUCGUCCAAGUGGAUUCUGGCACUAUUUUUAUGUGUGGGGCAGCAAUCUGUUUUAAAUUAAACAUUUCUUUUUUGUUUUGUUGGAGUUCGUUUGUUUUUUGUAAACUAAACAAACGGGAAUUUAUUUACUUGCGCAGGCAUAAACAAACAAAUAAGUGCAUGUGUGUGUGUCUGAUUGUUUUCUUAAUAGUUUUUUUUUCGGUACAAAGACACACACACACAAGUGCGUGCGCGCGCGUACAAUCAAAUUUAUCAUCAAAAGUUCAACGAUACUGAUCGAUCAAGGUUAAAAGGUUGAAAAAAAAAUUGUGGGCGCAGCAGAUGCCAAAAAGGAAAGCGCGUUUAAUUAAACAAUGAUCAGCCCAUCCAUCAUACACGCACUCACACACGCGCACACACUCUAUAAUCGCAUUGUUCCGUUAGUGUGUUUAGUCGGCCUACUAUCGAUAUGGAUUUAUAUCCUUUUGAGGCGCCCAAUUCAGAAUGUAUUCACCCCUCCCUCCCCGCAUGUAUUUUUAUGUUUUAAUCCCUGAAACACACAGAAACUAAAAGCAGUACAAUUAUUAUUUCUUAUUGUUUUUGUAUUUAAUUUUAUUUUUUUGUCCAUUAUUUAAUUGUAAUUUAUUUCUGAAUUUGUGCAUACAAUAUUUAGUUGCCGCGUCUAACGUGCGUAAUUAUCGAAUACUAUCGAAUAGCGUAAGCGGGCAUGUAUUAUGUAAGAGAGAACUUCCAAAGUGUUCAGGCCAAAAGUUAAUUUUCCCCCACAUAGCGAUAUAUCCAUAUGUAUUGUACACAUAUUUGUAAAAUUCAAUUGUUUAUAUGUUUAAUUGUAUAUACUAAACGAGAAAAUAUGUCUUCUUUAAAAUGUAUUUAAGUAUUUUGGAUCAAAGCAACGAAUCGAACUUGAAAUUAUGAUGAUAUCCAAUGACUGAACUGAUAAAGGCAGCGAAUACUUUAUAUCUAGAGCAUAUUUUUGAUACUAACGACUAUUGUAUAUAAGUGUAACCCAUACAUUGACUAGCCUAAGAUCCUGAUAUCAUUUUUUUUUUGUUUUUCAAUAUUUUACGUAUUACCUGCCCUGAUAUAUCUCUACAUAUAUCCAUUUAACUCGAAUCCCUGCAACGUGUAACCCAACAACGAAUGUCUAAUUGCUAAGUUCUAGCCUGUAGAUCGAUGCUAAGUCUUUACGAUAAAAUUUUAUAACUAAAAAACACACAUACAAUACAAGUCUGCAUGCACGUAAUGAGAUUCCCCCCAAAACGCGAACACGCUCCAUGGCAAAAUAUUUAAAAUUGUUUCCUCCGCAGAGAGAAAGAAAGAAGAGUAUUUUAACGAUAAUUAUCAUAUAAUGUAUGGCAUUCAUAAGGAAUAUAUCAAUAAUUCGCUUUUGGAGGCGUGCGACUGCCACUGCGACUGGGCUCUUUCCUUGUUGUAUUCUAUUAAUUUAUGGCCCACAGAGAGAACAUUUUUAUAGAUAAACAUGCGGAACGAAAUUGUCUGAAAUGGCAAUUAAAUGAAACCGAAACUGAAACUGAAAAACUCGCCAGAACUUGGCAUUCAUGUGCAGCUAAAUAGGGAUAGAUAUAUCAACGUAUACUCUACACAAGCAAAUAUAUUACAUAAAUACAUAUAUGCAUGUAUACAUUAUAUACGCAAACAUCCAAAUGAUGUUUGCAAUUGUCAUUGACUAAAAACAACAACUAAACUAAACUAUUUAUACUUAUCGUACAAUAAAGCUUUUUGGCAAAUAUCAAUGAAA
RNA transcript from Drosophila miranda, 5851 nucleotides. It is a transcript of the gene named probable G-protein coupled receptor Mth-like 1, with no coding region annotated. Lineage: Eukaryota; Metazoa; Arthropoda; Insecta; Diptera; Drosophilidae. The transcript is spliced from 3 exons. The record is from RefSeq and is a predicted model, not a curated record.